Molecule: ribosomal RNA, 252 nt
Filed under: uncultured bacterium
Lineage: Bacteria
Description: partial 16S ribosomal RNA
Rfam family: Bacterial small subunit ribosomal RNA
Source: RNAcentral
UACGUAGGGGGCUAGCGUUAUCCGGAUUUAUUGGGUUUAAAGGGUGCGUAGGCGGAUCGUUAAGUCAGUGGUCAAAUUGAGGGGCUCAACCCCUUCCCGCCAUUGAAACUGGCGAUCUUGAGUGGAAGAGAAGUAUGCGGAAUGCGUGGUGUAGCGGUGAAAUGCAUAGAUAUCACGCAGAACCCCGAUUGCGAAGGCAGCAUGCCGGCUUCCUACUGACGCUGAAGCACGAAAGCGUGGGGAUCGAACAGG